UGGGGAAUAUUGGACAAUGGGCGCAAGCCUGAUCCAGCAAUGCCGCGUGUGUGAAGAAGGCCUUCGGGUUGUAAAGCACUUUUAUCAGGAGCGAAACGCUGUCGGCUAAUACCCGGCGGAACUGACGGUACCUGAGGAAUAAGCACCGGCUAACUUCGUGCCAGCAGCCGCGGUAAUACGAAGGGUGCAAGCGUUAAUCGGAAUUACUGGGCGUAAAGCGUGCGUAGGCGGUUUCUUAAGUCUGCUGUGAAAUCCCCGGGCUCAACCUGGGAAUGGCAGUGGAUACUGGGAGGCUAGAGUGUGUCAGAGGGUGGUGGAAUUCCCGGUGUAGCGGUGAAAUGCGUAGAGAUCGGGAGGAACAUCAGUGGCGAAGGCGGCCACCUGGGACAACACUGACGCUGAGGCACGAAAGCGUGGGGAGCAAACAGGAUUAGAUACCCUGGUAGUCCACGCCCUAAAACGAUGCGAACUGGAUGUUGGUCUCAACUCGGAGAUCAGUGUCGAAGCUAACGCGUUAAGUUCGCCGCCUGGGGAAGUACGGUCGCAAGACUGAAACUCAAAGGAAUUGACGGGGUCAUAGCUGUUUCC
RNAcentral lists this ribosomal RNA (588 nucleotides) under uncultured bacterium. RNAcentral's name for it is "partial 16S ribosomal RNA". It matches the Rfam family "Bacterial small subunit ribosomal RNA", at positions 355 to 937 of the family's 1533-position model. The record is from RNAcentral.